RNAcentral lists this long non-coding RNA (348 nucleotides) under Elaeis guineensis (African oil palm). RNAcentral's name for it is "long non-coding RNA (EGUI_LNC042934)". The record is from RNAcentral. Lineage: Eukaryota; Viridiplantae; Streptophyta; Magnoliopsida; Arecales; Arecaceae.
ACUAUCCAAAAAAGAUAAAAUUUGAUGAAAAUAUCAAAAUUAUCCUUCAGUAGCAAGUUACCGUGUAAUUCAAUCCUCCAGUCAUACAACAUCCUAAACGAGCAAUGGAUAUGAAAUCAUAUCAAAAUUAAAUAUUUAUCUAUAUGUAUCUCAAUCAGAAAGUGAUGAUUUAGUUGAUCAUAUAUUAGAAACUUCUUUCUAAUUAUCAUUCUGCUUUGGUCAAAGACUUUCCGAAUCAUCGUCCUGUGAGAUCACAUAGGAUGUUCGCUUCCUUUAUUAGGAGUGACUGAUCCCUUAUUGACCACUCAUAACUUUUAUGCAUACUUCACUAUAUCCAAAACACCCCAC